This 491-nucleotide ribosomal RNA is filed under the name uncultured bacterium. Its description in RNAcentral is "partial 16S ribosomal RNA". It matches the Rfam family "Bacterial small subunit ribosomal RNA", at positions 29 to 506 of the family's 1533-position model. The record is from RNAcentral.
AGUGAACGCUGGCGGUAGGCCUAACACAUGCAAGUCGAACGGCAGCACAGUAAGAGCUUGCUCUUACGGGUGGCGAGUGGCGGACGGGUGAGGAAUACAUCGGAAUCUACUUUUUCGUGGGGGAUAACGUAGGGAAACUUACGCUAAUACCGCAUACGACCUACGGGUUAAAGCAGGGGAUCUUCGGACCUUGCGCGAUUGAAUGAGCCGAUGUCGGAUUAGCUAGUUGGCGGGGUAAAGGCCCACCAAGGCGACGAUCCGUAGCUGGUCUGAGAGGAUGAUCAGCCACACUGGAACUGAGACACGGGCCAGACUCCUACGGGAGGCAGCAGUGGGGAAUAUUGGACAAUGGGCGCAAGCAUGAUCCAGCCAUACCGCGUGGGUGAAGAAGGCCUUCGGGUUGUAAAGCCCUUUUGUUGGGAAAGAAAAGCAGCAGGUUAAUACCCCGCUGUUCUGACGGUACCCAAAGAAUAAGCACCGGCUAACUUCGU